This 1431-nucleotide ribosomal RNA is filed under the name uncultured organism. RNAcentral describes it as "16S ribosomal RNA". It matches the Rfam family "Bacterial small subunit ribosomal RNA". The record is from RNAcentral.
GCCUAAUACAUGCAAGUCGAGGGGUAGAGAGAGCUUGCUUUCUUGAGACCGGCGCACGGGUGCGUAACGCGUAUGCAACCUACCUUUAUCUGGGGGAUAGCCCGGAGAAAUCCGGAUUAAUACCGCAUAAAAUCACAGAAUAGCAUUAUUUAAUGAUCAAACAUUUAUGGGAUGAAGAUGGGCAUGCGUGUCAUUAGCUAGUUGGCGGGGUAACGGCCCACCAAGGCGACGAUGACUAGGGGAUCUGAGAGGAUGGCCCCCCACACUGGUACUGAGACACGGACCAGACUCCUACGGGAGGCAGCAGUAAGGAAUAUUGGUCAAUGGAGGCAACUCUGAACCAGCCAUGCCGCGUGCAGGAAGACUGCCCUAUGGGUUGUAAACUGCUUUUAUCCGGGAAUAAACCUUUCUACGUGUAGGAAGCUGAAUGUACCGGAAGAAUAAGGAUCGGCUAACUCCGUGCCAGCAGCCGCGGUAAUACGGAGGAUCCAAGCGUUAUCCGGAUUUAUUGGGUUUAAAGGGUGCGUAGGCGGCCUGUUAAGUCAGGGGUGAAAGACGGUAGCUCAACUAUCGCAGUGCCCUUGAUACUGAUGGGCUUGAAUGGACUAGAGGUAGGCGGAAUGAGACAAGUAGCGGUGAAAUGCAUAGAUAUGUCUCAGAACACCGAUUGCGAAGGCAGCUUACUAUGGUCUUAUUGACGCUGAGGCACGAAAGCGUGGGGAUCAAACAGGAUUAGAUACCCUGGUAGUCCACGCCCUAAACGAUGAACACUCGCUGUUGGCGAUACACAGUCAGCGGCUAAGCGAAAGCGUUAAGUGUUCCACCUGGGGAGUACGCCCGCAAGGGUGAAACUCAAAGGAAUUGACGGGGGCCCGCACAAGCGGAGGAGCAUGUGGUUUAAUUCGAUGAUACGCGAGGAACCUUACCCGGGCUUGAAAGUUAGUGAAUGAUCUAGGGAUAGAUCAGUGAGCAAUCACACGAAACUAGGUGCUGCAUGGCUGUCGUCAGCUCGUGCCGUGAGGUGUUGGGUUAAGUCCCGCAACGAGCGCAACCCCUAUGUUUAGUUGCCAGCAUGUAAUGAUGGGGACUCUAAACAGACUGCCUGUGCAAACAGAGAGGAAGGAGGGGACGACGUCAAGUCAUCAUGGCCCUUACGUCCGGGGCUACACACGUGCUACAAUGGAUGGUACAGAGGGCAGCUAGCUGGCAACAGUAUGCGAAUCUCACAAAGCCAUUCACAGUUCGGAUUGGGGUCUGCAACUCGACCCCAUGAAGUUGGAUUCGCUAGUAAUCGCGUAUCAGCAAUGACGCGGUGAAUACGUUCCCGGGCCUUGUACACACCGCCCGUCAAGCCAUGGAAGUUGGGGGUACCUAAAGUAUGUAACCGCAAGGAGCGUCCUAGGGUAAAACCGAUAACUGGGGCUAAGUCGU